CCAAAUCCCCAAUCCCCACUGCUGCCCCCGAGCCCUCGACCUGCUGCUCCCGACCUGCGCCGCCGCCCCGACCCACUGCGCCACCGCCCCUACCUGCGCCGCCGCCCAGACCCACUGCGCCGCCGCCCAGUGUUCCUCUUCAUCGUCAUCGUCCCUGGGCCAAGGCUGAGGAGCCGCCGCAACGUCGCCAUCGACCACCUCGUCAUCUACCUCCGGCCACCGCGACGCCAUCGACGGAUUCGUCGUCUUCACUGCACCCCCGGCCUCCUCGAGCUCGUCCCCGGAACCGCGGUUCGUAGGAGCAGAAAGGGACACCGACCAGCAACCGCCCGCCCAACGAUUAUCACACCAGCAGCGAGUUCGUCCGAUCGAACUGCAACUGGAACGGUGAGCCUUGCUUGUGCUCCUCCCUCUCUUUUUCGUUUCUGGUUUCUAAGGUAUCUAUUAAUUUAAAAAUAGUGGCAGUGAGGCAGCAUACUAUGGAAGAUAGGCCUAAAUGUUAUAGAGGUGGGUGAACAUGAUGAGCCUUUCCCGUACAUAUUUGGUUUGGUUGAUUGCCUGGCAUGAGCUAGAUCAAAUGAUCCGUUUGCUCUAUUGAUUCGAGUGGAUGUGGAUGCUUGAUAAAAUUAUCUUAUGAAAUGAUUCCAAUGCUGGCAGCUUCUGAUGUUCCAAUGUUGGCAGCUUCUGAUUCCAA
Aegilops tauschii subsp. strangulata is the source of this 694-nucleotide non-coding RNA. Lineage: Eukaryota; Viridiplantae; Streptophyta; Magnoliopsida; Poales; Poaceae. The record is from RefSeq and is a predicted model, not a curated record.